This 1268-nucleotide long non-coding RNA is filed under the name Sus scrofa (pig). Its description in RNAcentral is "lncRNA (ENSSSCG00035006990.1)". Lineage: Eukaryota; Metazoa; Chordata; Mammalia; Artiodactyla; Suidae. The record is from RNAcentral.
AUAGAAUGAGUUGCUCAGAGGAGGGGACAGCAGAUGGAGCUGCUGGCAGUCAUUUCAGCAGAUCAAUGGGGUUGUUGAAAGCUGAGUUAUGAAAAGAGCAUUGAACCACAAGUGUAAGAAGAAAACAUGGGAAAUCUUAAGCAAAAAAUGCUCCUCCAUUUCCUCUGCUUUUGUUGUGCCUGCUGAGUUCAGAGCUGAUAUUUAUCCCGUUGCACCUCACUAAUCUCUUUCCUGCACUGCUGACAUCGGAGAAGGGGAGUGAAAGGUCCUGAGCUGAGUGCUAUCGUGAAGGCUUUUCUGCUGUCUUCCAGUCCUCACCACGCCAAAGGGAAGCCUGCCUUGAGGCAGGACGGCCCCCCCCACAGCCCCACCCACGUCUGCUGCCACUCCACUCCCUUCCCUUCCUUCUCGCUGACCCGCCUUUCCCACUUGAAGGGCGACCAGAAGCCACCUGGGCAGGAUGGGGCCUCUCCACAUCCUCUUCCACAAAACUGUCUCAGGAAACCAGAGACAGUCCUCCCAAAACGAAAUUCCGUGGUAGAUUCUGUGUCUACCUUUGCUUUUUACUAAAUAUUGUAAUUCCUAAGGCUAUUAAUAAGAAUAGAAAAUUUUAUUCUACAAUACCAAGACUUCUCUAUUAGAGCCAGAGAAUCUUGGAUGACUUCUGGGAGUCUGAGCAGCUGAGGCUCAACCUUCUGCCAUCCACUGAUACCCAGGAAGCUGCCUGGAUUCUCCCAGGACGGAGCUGAGAACAACCGCAGCACUUCCUCCAAGAUGCUGCCGAUCCUGCUCUCAGUGGCCUUGCUGGCCCUGAGCUCAGCGCAGGGCCCUUUUUUUGGCAGCAAUGAAGGACCUCCCUACCCCCUAUCAGGUAAGUCUCAUUUAACUCUCCAUCAACUUUCUUUCUUUUUAAUCCUUAGCAACUUCUCUGUUCUCCAGUGUCUUAUUAUCAUCACAGUCUUGUCAAGAAAUGAUUAAUGUUAGUGCCCCCAAGAUAUAGGCAAUCCUUUACCAACCUUGAUUCUGGGAACCAUGAGCAGGGCCCUAACGUGAAUAACAGAGAUGUGUAGCUUGGAUGACACAGAGAAUGCUGCCUGUUCCCUCAGGCCAGAAAUGACAGCUGGAAGAGGGUGGCAGAGGGAAGUUGUCCUAAUUCUGACUCCUCCAGCCUACUGAGCAUCAUCCCCUCAACUGUUUCAUUCUUCCUCAGUAUUCCUUUCUUUAAUACAUAGUUUGGAAAAAUGGAAAUAAACUUAAUUCCGAUUACA